This is a non-coding RNA of Anas platyrhynchos (mallard), 1422 nucleotides long. NCBI's taxonomy places the organism in Eukaryota, Metazoa, Chordata, Aves, Anseriformes, Anatidae. The record is from RefSeq and is a predicted model, not a curated record.
AGAGAACUGAUCUCAUGGGAAAUGAGCAAGCCUGCACAGCCAUGUAAAAUGAUAUGUGAAGCGUAUGCAGUGUGCACAAGCUGAUGAUAACAAAAACACUAUACACUCUUCUGCUGCUCUCCAAAGUAAAGCUGCAUUUGCCACUGAUGGGAGAAUCACUUGGCAAAACUGAGAUGAAGUCACUAGAGUGAAGAAACCACAGUAUGAAUUCUUGUUGUGUGUUGUAGAAAGACAUGUACAGUGGGAAGAGAAGGAUGGACAAUUGCACAUUUCUUCUGAGUUGAUUCACCCUACUCAUGCACAGAAUUUAUCUCCCUUCUUGCUGUUGUUUGCACCUCAACACACACAAGUGUAUCAAACAGUAUUGAUACAGAAGCUGGCCCCCCACAGAAUAAGAAGAUCUGACAAGCAUUCAAGUAAUCAUCACUCUCGAUAAAUGGAGAUCAUCAAGGGCAUUUCUCAUUCCUAGAACUACAAGAAGCAUUAAUUCAGCUUUUCGUUUAUUUCAUGGGAUAGGAUGCAGACAACACUCACAAAAAUAGAGCUGAUUUUCCUGACUAGUAAAAUCACACCCUCUUGAAGGUCUGAGCAACAUGUGGUGUCUUUAGACUGAUGUCUCCUCAACCCCCUGAGUCAUAGAAACUGAAAGGAGCAGGAAUUUUCAUCUCUCUUCUCUAUCAGUUAUUCCUACAGGUAAAACAAUUAGAGAAAGACUUAUUAAAGCUUAGAAUAUGAAUAAGGAACAGGAUUUAAUUUCUUUUAUACAAAUUAAGCAAUAGCUUAAAUGCCUGAAUCAAUCAAUUUAAUUUAGAGCUAAACUAAUCCUUGAAGUCAUUAUGAUUACACUAAAGAGUGAACGUGGCAUUUGGCUUUUCAUGCCCCCAAAAUAAAACAGAGGGUUUUUUUUUCAUGCAAUUGUCAUUAGCAUUUGAUGUAAGCUGUACUGAAAUACUUCUAUGUAUUUUAGUAGUUAAUAGCCAUCAUCCUGGCAGUAGAAGUCCAGUCCUGUAAAUAACACAAAUAAUUAAAAUCGUAACAAUUUAACUUAGAUAAAUCUCAAAACAAUAUCCUUCUUGUUCUGGCUGUCAAGCUGGAACACCAACAAUCAGAAAUUUGGCAGAUUUCAAAGUAAAAAGUUGUUUAAAUGUCCUUAAUCACCUAAGUUGCUUGUUGAGUUCAUACAGAACUAGAAGUCCAUUACCCCAAACCUCAGCAGUAGGAUAUUAAGUACUGCAGAAGUACUGCAGUACAUUGCAAAACAACACUGAAAAUGCAUUACUCCAGUCAAGAAGAUAUGAAAACUGUCAGUGGAUGUAAACACCACAGGAUAAAGUAAAGUUCAAUUUGAAAAUAAAUCAAAGGUUUCCAAGUUACCACAAAACUAUAUUUAUAUAAAUAUAUAUAUAUAUAUUUUUUUUUUUU